CCCUUAGAUGUUCUGGGCCGCACGCGCGCUACACUGAUGCAUUCAACGAGCCUAUCCUUGACCGACAGGUCCGGGUAAUCUUUGAAUCUGCAUCGUGACGGGGAUAGAUUAUUGCAAUUAUUAAUCUUCACCGAGGAAUGCCUAGUAGGCGCAAGUCAUCAGCUUGCGUCGAUUACGUCCCUGCCCUUUGUACACACCGCCCGUCGCUCCUACCGAUUGGGUGUGCUGGUGAAAUGUUCGGAUCGGCCGUUUGUCGCGGUUUCCGCGUCAUGUGGCUGAGAAGUUCAUUAAACCCUCCCACCUAGAGGAAGGAGAAGUCGUAACA
RNAcentral lists this ribosomal RNA (325 nucleotides) under uncultured eukaryote. Its description in RNAcentral is "partial 18S ribosomal RNA". It matches the Rfam family "Eukaryotic small subunit ribosomal RNA", at positions 1470 to 1796 of the family's 1831-position model. The record is from RNAcentral.